AUGUGCCCGAAUAGCUACUGGCAAUAUUUUGCUUGGUGCCACACUUUUCUCCCUGAUGGACAAAAGUACUAUACGGUGGGCUUGGCUGCUGCUUGCUGGGCCAUUUGGCUAGCUCGAAACCGAGCUACGUUCGAAAAGAAGAUUAUCAAAACGCCUUUUGAGAUUGUUUUCUCCAUGUGUUCUUUCCUACUGUACUGGACAGGGCUGCAGGAGGAGGAGGGCGCGAAGGAGCUGCGAAGCGGUGCUGAGAUGAUCAGGUCGAGCACGAUGCGCAUGAUGGAGAUGUGCAACGCGGCGAGGGUGUCGAUCGGAGGAGAUUGA
This 321-nucleotide ribosomal RNA is filed under the name Triticum aestivum (bread wheat). Its description in RNAcentral is "partial small subunit ribosomal RNA". Lineage: Eukaryota; Viridiplantae; Streptophyta; Magnoliopsida; Poales; Poaceae. The record is from RNAcentral.